This 302-nucleotide ribosomal RNA is filed under the name uncultured bacterium. RNAcentral describes it as "partial 16S ribosomal RNA". It matches the Rfam family "Bacterial small subunit ribosomal RNA", at positions 508 to 807 of the family's 1533-position model. The record is from RNAcentral.
GCAGUAGCCGCGGUAAAACGUAGGUGGCAAGCGUUGUCCGGAAUUAUUGGGCGUAAAGGGCUCGCAGGCGGUUUCUUAAGUCUGAUGUGAAAGCCCCCGGCUCAACCGGGGAGGGUCAUUGGAAACUGGGAAACUUGAGUGCAGAAGAGGAGAGUGGAAUUCCACGUGUAGCGGUGAAAUGCGUAGAGAUGUGGAGGAACACCAGUGGCGAAGGCGACUCUCUGGUCUGUAACUGACGCUGAGGAGCGAAAGCGUGGGGAGCGAACAGGAUUAGAUACCCCCGUAGUCCCUGUCUCUUAUAC